RNAcentral lists this ribosomal RNA (464 nucleotides) under uncultured bacterium. Its description in RNAcentral is "bacterial SSU rRNA". It matches the Rfam family "Bacterial small subunit ribosomal RNA", at positions 338 to 795 of the family's 1533-position model. The record is from RNAcentral.
CCUACGGGGCGCACCAGUGGGGAAUAUUGGACAAUGGGCGAAAGCCUGAUCCAGCCAUGCCGCGUGUGUGAAGAAGGCCUUUUGGUUGUAAGCACUUUAAGUGGGGAGGAAAAGCUUAUGGUUAAUACCCAUAAGCCCUGACGUUACCCACAGAAUAAGCACCGGCUAACUCUGUGCCAGCAGCCGCGGUAAUACAGAGGGUGCAAGCGUUAAUCGGAAUUACUGGGCGUAAAGCGCGCGUAGGUGGUCAUUUAAGUCAGAUGUGAAAGCCCCGGGCUUAACCUGGGAACUGCAUCUGAUACUGGAUGACUAGAGUAGGUGAGAGGGGAGUAGAAUUCCAGGUGUAGCGGUGAAAUGCGUAGAGAUCUGGAGGAAUACCGAUGGCGAAGGGAGCUCCCUGGCAUCAUACUGACACUGAGGUGCGAAAGCGUGGGUAGCAAACAGGAUUAGAUACCCGCGUAGUC